CCACCCCUUCCCAGCCCUCAUUCUGGGGUUGGCAGUGAAUGUGAGAGCAUCUUGUUGUAGAUCUCUUCAUACCUGAGGCCUUCUAAAGUUGUGCAGAGGUGAAUGGAGCUGUCUAUUUCUCAUUGCGUGCAGUGAUGGAGACUGUCCUGCCCAGCAGAUUGCAGUGGAUACAUAAAUAAGAGCACAAAGCUGUUGUGCUGGCCCAUUAUGCUGCAGGUUCACUUGGUGUGACCUUCCCAAGGAACCCUUGCUCUCAGAUGUGAGCACAGCUCUGGGAGAAGAGCCCAGAGGGAGGGCCGAACCACUCCUGUUGUCAUGGAGACAGCAGGGACCAGGAGGAUGCUCCAGAGAGAAAGCCCAGGUGGAACUGGCUGCCCUGCCCCUCCUGCUCUGGGAUGGAGAACAAAGGGAUGCUGUGGGAAAGGCGUGACAGACAACACAGGCUAAGUCACAAUACAGCCCCAUGAAGCUGGAAGAGAGGAAUCACAAGUCUGGAACACAGGAAUAGCACAGAGUUGUUCCAGUUACAGCUAGCAAUUGUGGAAGAUGUUAAGCAUCCUGGGCUGUGCUCAACCACAUCCUCAGCUCUUAACUCUGCUGGCACAGAUUCUUUACCUGCUCUCACUGACAAGCUUCAGGGCAACCUCUAUGGGAGAUAGGGCUGCUUCCCUUAGCCCCAGUGUUUCUCCUUACCUUCAGUCCCAUGCCACGCAAAGGCUGCCGUGCAAAGGCUGCCUGAUGCGUCUUCCCAGCUCCUCCUUCAGCCUCCAGCCUGCUCUCAGUGAAGGAUUGCUGCUGCUAACAGAAUGGUCUGAAUUGAGCUGCCCUGGCAGACUGCACAGAGCCCACAGGCCAUAGGUUAAGUGCUCCUGUAACAAAGCACAGGCUCCUCAUGGGUCACUGGUAAAUACAGCAGAACUCUGGGCACUUUUAACCUCUUCCUGCAGAACCAAACCUCACAUUAACGCUGAGCAGAGCUGCCCAGUUCACCUGCAGUGAUGCUGUUGGCUCUUAUGGGACCACUGGGGGAGGUUGAGCAGAGGCAGCCCAGGCACUGCAUGGGUUAAGGAUGUCCUGACUUCAUGCACUGCAGCACUUACAGCUCCCCUGGGCUCCAUCCUGUGCUGUGCUAAGGCUCAUAGCCAGCUGAUUGGCAUGGGGUCCCACUGGGGCUUGAGACCAGAGAGCACAAGCAACUUCUUACAGUGAGAAAUCACAGCAGAGCUACUGUGUGGGCAGGGGGAAAUGGGGCUGCAAUCACAAUGUGCCUUGCCUGCCCACCUUCCACUGGGAUCAAUGCUCACCUCCAGCCACAGACAUUUCUUUCAGGCUCAACUACAUUCCAAAGUACCUAACUUCAGCACUGAGCACCACUUGCCCUCCAUUUCCCUGCCUCACUCUUCAUCAUUCCUGAUGCCAACAAGAAGUUAUAAUGUCCUACAAAAACAGGUUGUCUCCCAUCUCAUAUGCUUUCCCUGUUUCACCCUUGCAGUGCACACGCUGAAACCUCUGCCAUCUCAGUAGAUGCCAAGCAAUGAGUUACAACUGCUCUGGAGACACCCAGACAGGAAGAGGUUCCUGCCUGCUGACACCAACCUCAGCCUCUGCACCAACCUUGAGAUCUGCAGUUUGCUCCCAGAAACAUCGAUGCUCAGUCCUAAACCACACUGCUGUAACAGCAAAGCAGGUUGGCAAAAUAAAUCUGCCCACGCUACAUCCACCUACUGCUGGGCACAGAACGGUUUCCAUAUACAUUAUCCCACUGCACAACCUCAGAAGAGCAAUUAUUAAUGAGCAGAGAGACAAAGUCAUCCCACGCUUCCUCCCCUGCUCUGCGUUCCCAGCUCCCAAAGACACAUCACGUGCAGCAAACACCUUUUUAGCAGAGAUCUUCUAGCACAUUUCUAAACUUUUUUUCCUUUUCUAAGGCUGCAGUCAAAAUCCAUCAUAAGGAAUUGAUCUGGAGCACUCAGCAGUGAUCACCAGAGCAUGGAACUAAUAGAUUGGGAUUCAGGUCUGAUGUAUUUAUUUUGGGGGUGUAAUGCUAUAAUGUGAUGGAAAGCACAGCAGUAAUAGUUGGGUAGCAAAGUUUUAGGCUGCAGCAAGUGAGGAUAAGCCCAAGUGCAACAGCCAUGGACAUAGAAACAAAGGAAGAAAGCUGCUUAGCUUUGAAAGGCCUUGGGCAGGCAGGAUCUCCAGUGAGAUGCCCGUAUCUCUACUGCCAACCCUUAAAUGAGGGCUGGGAAGGGCUGGAUCCUGGCUGCAGCCCUUCCAUCACUUACACUGCAUGCACCUGAGCUGCCCUGUGCUGGCCCUGCCAUCCCACCAGGUCACCAUCACUGCUUCAGGCUGUGAUGACUCAGCAUUGCCACUACAGGGGGACCAAUAGAAUUUAUCAAAGGAAAAAAUCUAAUGCCUAAAUUCAAUUCUAGAAUUCAAUCUACAGACUCCGUAAUUCAUUUCUUUUUCAGUCAUCCUACCUGAGGGUGCAAUCCAAGAAACAGCUUUGGAUUUGAGAAUCGCUGCAGCAUCAUUCAAAUGAAAUUCACAGCUAAAAAUCAAAACUCCUUCCCAAGUAGUUGUGACAAGACAACAGACGGCAUUUUCUAGGACAGCAUCUGUUCAUUCCUGCAGACUGAAUAAUUCAGCCAGAAUAUGGGAGUUCCAAUGGAACUCAGGAGCCCAUUUUAAGGAGAAGCAGAACACGCAAUCAUUUCCUACUGAAAGCUGUUAGAGCUUCGUGUGUCCUCCUGCCUUCUCUCCUCUCUGUUCAGACCCAUUGGGAACCACCCAGGUCAACACAAAGAAAGGCCAGGUCUGUCUCCUGGUCCCCAGAACCAGUCCUCAAACAGCAGCGACUCUUCAGUCAUUUCUGUGAGACGUGGGAGAGGAAGAAUUUGUGCUCGAGGUCACACUUCAAAGAGGGAAAAUAGAAAUGACAGACAGAAGCAGGGACAGCUGUGAGCUUCACAGCCUGUUGGUUUUAGGUGUUCUGGAACAGAGAGUUAAACCAAGCACUCAAGUUCCCCUCCUAAAAAAAUCAUUAACAGGCGAUACAGUAAAUGCUAAUUACAAAUAUCAAACUGCUGCCAUGGGCUCUUCACAUCUUCAAAGUAUUUCCAAUCUGGCCAUCAACAAGAAGUGCACAACAGAACCGUAUCACACAUUGAGGUUUGUCUCCCUGAAUGCCCUCUUGUCUCUAACCCACCCGUGCUCCAACAUGAGGAUGUAACGCCAGUCAGGAGUCCCAGGCACUGCCUUAACAUCAUGCCCACAGAACCACAGGGUUGGAAGGGAUCUCUGGACAUCACCUUGUCCAUCCUCCCCCUGCCAAGGCAGGUUUCCUACCCAGGAAUGCAUCCCAUGACGCUGAGCUCUGCCAGCCACCAGCUCUGACCCACCUCACUGCUCACUUUUCUACCCCACACCUCCCCAGCUUACCAGCAAGGCUGUUCUGGGAGGCAGCAUCACAACCUUGCUGAAGUCAAGGUACACAACACCCACUGCUCUCCCAUUUACCAGCUGCCAUGGCAUCACAGAAGGCUACCAGAUUGGCCAAGCACAAUUCUCCCCUGGUGAAUCCAUGUUGACUAGUCCUGAUAACCUUCUUCUCUUCCAUCUCUUGGAGAUGACAUCCAGAACGAGGAGCUCCAUCACUUUCCCAGGGACAGAGAUGAGGCUGACCAGCCUGUUGUUUCCCAGCUCCUUCUUGCCCUUUUUGAGGACUGGAGCCACACCAGCUUUCCUCCAGCCCUCAGGCACUUCUCCUUUUCUCCAUGACCUUUCAAAAGCAGCUGGACCAUCACUUCUGCAUCACAUUGUGGCCCACAGGUUUGUGUGCACUGAGGUUGCCUAGACAACCUCUAACCAAGUAGAUUCUCCUCAACCAAGGGGAAGUUUUCCUUUCCCCUGACUUUCUCCUUCUCUCUGCAAAGGCCAGCAGGAUCACAAGACUCUGGGCAAGGCAGAAGAGUCAAUCUCACUAUCAGCACAUUUCUUCAAAGAUGGGAAGUAAAGAAGAGGUGGACAAGGAGGUGGGAAAAGGUCUCCCCAGGUUUGAAAAGGACAAAGAGGGAGGCAAGACUAUGAAUAAAGAGAAGAAACAGUCUGGAAGUUAAAGUGUUUAUUGAUGUGUUUAAACUUUGUACAUUCCCCACAGACCACACUAAGGAGUUUGCAGGUAAAUCUGUGCAUAGUGGGAAGAGACAUGGAAGGGAAAAGAAAGUAAAGUCACAGGAGAAAUAGAAAAAAUACACCACAGGUUACCAGAACCUCCAGAUUUAAAAAAGCCGUGAGCAUUAACACCAACUAUACAAGCAUUACAAAGACAAGAUGGUGAGCAGAACAAUACCCCUUUUGUUCUUCUCGGGGCCUUGCAUCCAAUUUCCCUUUAAGCAGGCAGAAUCCCUUUCCCAACUUAUCCCUCUCUCCUCUCCCCACGUUCAUCAGCUCCCAAGGUGCCAUCGCAGUGAUUUGUCAUUCUGGGAAAGACCCAAAGCCGUGCCUACAGCCCAACAGCACUGGAAGAGAUGCAAAGGCUCAAAACACUGCACCUCUGUAACUACUUACCAUGUUGGUGAGGCAGGAGAGCUGGGGAAAAUUAGAAAGUAGUAGCAAAAGGGGCUGUUAAUGCCAGGUGAGUACUGAAGGAAACUGGUUGAGAACAGAGGAUUUAAAUUCAAUACCAGGAACUUCCAACUCUAAAGCAGAACUGAAUCUGAAAGGGGAAUGUGCAGACCCCAGUAUGCACAAACCAUGUUCUAACAUUCCACUAGAGUAACUAUAAACAGAGAUGCUAGAAGCCUUUUAACUCCUUGCCUCCAGGGAGUCUUGAUUCCUAGAGCCCACACUGCUAAGCAGCAGGGUGCACAUUACUGGUGUAUGAGGAUGGGUUUUUUCUUUUUUUUUUUCCUUUUUUUUUUUCCUCAUUCUAAGGAUUUUUGUUCGUUGCCAUUCCAAAUUCCUUCCUUGUUUAUGCUGUCAUAGUUCCUAUCCCUAAAUUAAUCUCUUUGCAACUCCCAGCAAAAUUCACUUAAAGAAAAAAAAAA
Molecule: non-coding RNA, 5048 nt
Organism: Phasianus colchicus (ring-necked pheasant)
Lineage: Eukaryota; Metazoa; Chordata; Aves; Galliformes; Phasianidae
Source: RefSeq, a predicted model, not a curated record